UGCAUACUUAGGCCCCACCUCCUUGCUCUAAGGUUCCAUGUUGUUGAAAUUGGACUCACAGCUGGAGGGUUGGAUGGCUUCCUGAUGUCCUCCACCCAGCUUGGCUUGGGGACACAAAGCAGGAGACUGGGGUAGAGUGGCCCUGUAACAGUGAACAGCAGCACCAGGAUCUUGGGACUCUUGAGAACAGCAAAUCCUCACCUAUGCUUUAUGGGACUUAAUUUGGAGGAAACACAGCUGGGUGCAUGGAGAUACUGGAGGCAGGAGGACCGUUGGGGAGAGAGCUGGCAUUACAAGCAUGUACACCUGGCUUCACGUGGUUCUGGGAACUUAACCUAUGAUUUGGUGCAAGCUAAUCCAGCACUCCCCAACAGGGACCAGAAACCAAUCUCCAGAUGAAACAAAGGUGCAUCUCUCCAGCUCUAAGGUUUGCUCUCAACCUCAAGUCCCUUUCUUCUGCCGCCCUUACAUGAAGUUGUGAAUAUUUGCUGGUCUGACCAGGCAAGGGCACAGCGGGGCAACAUGCUGAGCUCUGGAGCCAGAAAAGAAGCAGGUCCCACCAUCAGUGUUGCUAGCAAGGGAAGAGAGAAUCCCACUAAUGAGGUCUCUGGGGUAUCCUGCUUCUGGGUCCUGACCCUCAGGGGAGAGCUCCCUCUCAGAGUAUAGGUCUCCAGCUGUGCCAGUCAUCAGCUGGCCACUCCCACUCUAAUGUAUAACAAAACACACAGGCUUUUCCCUGGCUUCCAGACUCCAUCUCUUCAACUUAGAGAGCCGGUUGGAAUCUGCCUGGAUCCUUUCACCCUGUGCUGCCAUCCAGAAAAUACUCACUCACUUAUGAAGAAGUGAUUGUAAAGAGGUAAACUUCAAGAGACUUUGAAAGAAUUUUGUGUUUCAGAAAAUACAGGAAGAAGACAUUGGGUUUAAGAAUCAGAAAUCUGUUGGGGCCAUGGAUGUGCCCAUCUAACAUUGCAACACUGAAGAGAUGAAUCAGUUUUCUAGGUUUCAUUUCAACCACUCUUUGGGGCUGAAUAAAGGAUCAUCCCACUUUUACGGAUGGUGUGGGCCUAAGCUAAAUACACAAAGAUGGACAUCCAGGCUUAAGCUGCAAUUGUGAUAAUCCAAAGCCACUAAAGAAAUGAAAAGAACUUCAAAGAAAUAUCAUUUCACAAGAAUUCCAAACAUUAU
Molecule: long non-coding RNA, 1185 nt
Filed under: Cricetulus griseus (Chinese hamster)
Lineage: Eukaryota; Metazoa; Chordata; Mammalia; Rodentia; Cricetidae
Description: lncRNA (ENSCGRG00015031019.1)
Source: RNAcentral